This 1255-nucleotide ribosomal RNA is filed under the name uncultured Acinetobacter sp. Its description in RNAcentral is "bacterial SSU rRNA". It matches the Rfam family "Bacterial small subunit ribosomal RNA", at positions 78 to 1328 of the family's 1533-position model. Lineage: Bacteria; Pseudomonadati; Pseudomonadota; Gammaproteobacteria; Moraxellales; Moraxellaceae. The record is from RNAcentral.
GCUUGCUACCUGACCUAGCGGCGGACGGGUGAGUAAUGCUUAGGAAUCUGCCUAUUAGUGGGGGACAACAUUCCGAAAGGAAUGCUAAUACCGCAUACGCCCUACGGGGGAAAGCAGGGGAUCUUCGGACCUUGCGCUAAUAGAUGAGCCUAAGUCAGAUUAGCUAGUUGGUGGGGUAAAGGCCUACCAAGGCGACGAUCUGUAGCGGGUCUGAGAGGAUGAUCCGCCACACUGGGACUGAGACACGGCCCAGACUCCUACGGGAGGCAGCAGUGGGGAAUAUUGGACAAUGGGCGAAAGCCUGAUCCAGCCAUGCCGCGUGUGUGAAGAAGGCCUUUUGGUUGUAAAGCACUUUAAGCGAGGAGGAGGCUACUUGGAUUAAUACUCUAGGAUAGUGGACGUUACUCGCAGAAUAAGCACCGGCUAACUCUGUGCCAGCAGCCGCGGUAAUACAGAGGGUGCGAGCGUUAAUCGGAUUUACUGGGCGUAAAGCGUGCGUAGGCGGCUUCUUAAGUCGGAUGUGAAAUCCCUGAGCUUAACUUAGGAAUUGCAUUCGAUACUGGGAAGCUAGAGUAUGGGAGAGGAUGGUAGAAUUCCAGGUGUAGCGGUGAAAUGCGUAGAGAUCUGGAGGAAUACCGAUGGCGAAGGCAGCCAUCUGGCCUAAUACUGACGCUGAGGUACGAAAGCAUGGAGAGCAAACAGGAUUAGAUACCCUGGUAGUCCAUGCCGUAAACGAUGUCCACUAGCCGUUGGGGCCUUUGAGGCUUUAGUGGCGCAGCUAACGCGAUAAGUAGACCGCCUGGGGAGUACGGUCGCAAGACUAAAACUCAAAUGAAUUGACGGGGGCCCGCACAAGCGGUGGAGCAUGUGGUUUAAUUCGAUGCAACGCGAAGAACCUUACCUGGUCUUGACAUAGUAAGAACUUUCCAGAGAUGGAUUGGUGCCUUCGGGAACUUACAUACAGGUGCUGCAUGGCUGUCGUCAGCUCGUGUCGUGAGAUGUUGGGUUAAGUCCCGCAACGAGCGCAACCCUUUUCCUUAUUUGCCAGCGGGUUAAGCCGGGAACUUUAAGGAUACUGCCAGUGACAAACUGGAGGAAGGCGGGGACGACGUCAAGUCAUCAUGGCCCUUACGACCAGGGCUACACACGUGCUACAAUGGUCGGUACAAAGGGUUGCUACCUAGCGAUAGGAUGCUAAUCUCAAAAAGCCGAUCGUAGUCCGGAUUGGAGUCUGCAACUCGACUCCAUGAAGUCG